Acinonyx jubatus (cheetah) is the source of this 9288-nucleotide long non-coding RNA. RefSeq lists it as uncharacterized. The record is from RefSeq and is a predicted model, not a curated record. The transcript is spliced from 2 exons. NCBI's taxonomy places the organism in Eukaryota, Metazoa, Chordata, Mammalia, Carnivora, Felidae.
GAUUUUUCUCAUUAUAGGUCAUAUUUCCUGCUUCUCUGCAUGCUUGAUAACAUUUCAUUGGAUGCCUGAGAUUGUGAAUUUUGCCUUUUCUUGUGCUAGGUAUGUUUAUGUUGCUAUAACUAUUCUUGAACUUUGUUCAGGGACCCAGUUAAUUACUUAGAAAUUGAUGUUUUUAGAGCUUGCUUUUUAAGAUAUGUUUGGCAUGGCUAAAGCAGUAUUAAUCUAUGGUUAACUUUACCCCACUAUUGAAAUGAGAUUUGUCUGAGUACUAAAUGCCCCAUGGAUUAUGAGACUUUCUAAUAUGAGGCUGGUUUGAACAGGCAAUUUUUCUGGCCUGCUGUGAAUACUCUUUCUUCUAGUUAUUCCUUCCUUACUAUUGGGUAAUUUUCUUCACGUGUAUGACAAUACUUUGCCAAAUGCUUUAAUCAUCUGAAGAUCUCUAGAGCUCUCGAAUUACCUCUCAAACUCUCUCAAAGCUAUGAGCUGGAAAAAUGGCAGGGCUUACUUUAUUCGUUUCCAUCUUAUGACUAUCGCCUUCCUCAUUGUCUGAUAUCAAAUGUCUUGAAAAUCAGUGUUUAAUAUAUGUUGCCCCAUCCUACAGAGGAGUGGAAAUACAAUAUUCCACUUGUGUCUUUUGCUUCCCCAUCAUUUUUUAGCAUAUGAAUUUUUCAUAGCUUGAAGUGAUUUAAUAGGUCACCUUCUUGGGUCUCCUCAUUUUCAGAGAAAAAUCUUGUCCGUGGCAAGAGGAAAUGAGCUGCCCAAAGACUCACUGCAGUAAUCAUCCAAUUAUCUUUCUGGGAAGAUAGACAGUAUCUCUGUCUCUGUUUGCAUCUACGCGAUGCUAACAUCUUCACUCUAUCAGGUUUGGGAUUUGUUUCUUGACCUGGUGUGGGAGGACCACGGCUUUUCUUUGGGGUGUUUCAGCUAAGUUUUCUGUUUUAGUCAUUGUGCCAAGGGUUUCAAAAUUUGCUUGUGGGGAUUGCAACUUUCUUUCAACCCUGCAAACCAGUCAGGGCUCCACAGCCACUGGGUCCUAAUUGCUACUGCAGAAACAUUCCUCUCCCAUUCUGGUGACUGACUUUAGGUUUAUAACCCAAGACACAGAUGGACACUUCAACUACUUUGUUGCUUUGACAUGACUUAAAAAGCCACAGAAGCUAGUGCUUUUAUUCUGGGCUGGACUCAGAUAACUUUUCUCCAAAUCCUUGCACAUGUGGCCUGAGAAGCUUGCUGGGCCCACUGAAGCCUUGAUUACUGCCUGAAACUUUACUUCCUCUAAAUGUGUAUGACUCACAUUCACCACAUAAGGCCCUUUAUUAUCCAAAACAACAGUGUGGGAGUGGGAAGCACUCUCUAGGAAAUUAAAAAUGCCUAAGGUCAAGAAGAGAGCUCUGCAGGUUUCUGCUGCCCUUUUCUUUAUUUUAUACCAAGUUAGAUAUCACCAAGUUAUCAGCCAAUUAAUUUCUUUUUUUCCUUUUCUCAGGAGGGGAUAGGUCUCUUUCUUUUUAAUUCAACUUCUUUAAGAAAUCCUACUCCUAUCUUCACCUUAUUUUUACCAGACUUAUUCUGUAGCCGUCUGCAGAAGUUUUCAACUUUCCUUGACUGGGUUGGUAAAUUUUCUUUUUCUUUUCUUGAGAUCCAGAAUGAAGUAUGAACUUUAUUGUAUGUAUGAUUUAUUUAUGUACAUUCAGUUGAGAUAUAAUAAUGAGUUAUGUCUCUGAUUUUCUUUAUUACCUUGUUCAAUUCUUUUAUAAUAUUUAUUAGUAGUCAUUUUCCUCACUUAUACAACAGAUAUUUAUUAAAUAGCAAUUAUGUAGCUGGCAUUAUGAUAGAUAUGGGUAGACAAUGGUAAAUAGCAAUGCACGUCUUGUCAGGAAAUUUCCAGGUGACUGGUCUACUUUAGAGAAUUAAGAGAUUAGAUAGAGCUUGUUCAUCAAACCACUAAAAUUAGUUUCUUUUCAUUUGAGCCCCAUUAGGAAUUGCUGCUUAUGCCUUUGAUUCAACAACCAUGCAUUUCCUGGUGGGGUUGGUUAUCGUUUGUGUAUGUAGAGAAUAUCUAGGAGGCAUUAUUGGCUAUUUAUUUAUUAUUUACUUAUUUUCAUUUAAUUUAGGACUUCCAAUCCUGGUAUGGUCGAAUAAGCUCCUACUGAACCUAAUGUACCUAUAGGUGGCAGUUAUAAACUCUGAAAUACACACACACACACAUACACACACACACAGUGACCUAUAGAGAUUAGAAAAUGAACAAAAACAGGCAGAUUCUGAAGCAGGGUAGACAAUUAGACUGAGGGUAGCAUGGGGUAAAUUUUUCUUUUUAACACACUUCGAGCUGAGGAGCAGGCUAAAGUUGGCCCUAUUUGGAACAGCCAAAACUCCAAUAAACAAACAAACAAACAAAGAAACAACAACAACAAAACCAGUGUUCCUGCCAAAAGAGCCACAGGAUAGACUUAGGGGCAACCACAGUUGUUGGGAAGUGAGGGGAAAAUUCUAGAGAGGAGAGAUCAAGUGGGAAGGAGCCCCAGUUAUGUGUGUAUAUAGGAAGAGGAAGCAGAAGAUUUUUGCCUGUUUGUUUGUUUGGCCUCUAAGUCAAAGUCAUAGUUUACAUUUUAGUAAUAAUCAAUAGCUCCCACGUGAAGAAUUAUUAAGGGCUUGCCAGAGCCUAAGUAUAGUAAUAUUUUGUUCUGAUUUGGCUAUUGUUGUUCUUUGUGAGGAAUCUUACAGAAUUUGGGUAUUUGAAGGCCCCUAGCUUAGUAUAAUUAUUAUUACAUCGAAUCCUCAAGAUUAACCUCCAAAACACUGCAGUAUCUACCACAUGGCAUCCAAACAUUGACCCAAGCACUGGGCUCAUCCUUGCAGAGGCAUAAAUGAGCAUGAUACUAUCCAUGUUCUUAAGCUACUCAGAGUCUUAGAGCUAUUGCUCAGCCUGUUGGACAGUGUUAGAAGGCAUUCUCUGAGCAAGAAGUAGAUAUCAGGAUCCCUGGAUGGCCCAUUUGGCCCUAAGGAUCCCCGAAUUUGUAUCAUUGAGUUGACUGUCAGAGUAAAUUUAGAUGAUCCAAAUGUGAGAGACGGAUAAAUUUGCCAUGUUCUUAGAAGGAUAAGUACACUUGUUUAAGGAGGUAAUUAGUCUUCUCAAAGUAACAAAAUCAGAAGUUCAGUUUUCCUUUUACUUGUUAAAGAUAGUUUUCUAGCUCAUCUUUUGAAAAGCAAAGAGAUCUGACAGCUAGCAUUUCUUAAUGUUGUUUUAUAUGACAAGGAAAAUAAGGUAGAGGAAGUGGCUUCUGAAAACAAGCCUUUCUGAACUCAAUUCUUGGCUUUACCACUAAGGAACCCUAUGACUCAACACAAGUUAUUAUGCCAUAUAGGAUUAUUGUGAAGAUGGCAAUAAUGAAUACAUUUCAAACACUUAAAAUAGUGCCUCAAUAAGCAUUAUUUAUGAUUAUUGUUGAGCAAUUAAGAAACAUGACAAAUCCAAGGCACCUGGGUGGCUCAGUCGGUUAAGCAUCCGGCGCUUGAUUUUGACUCAGGUCAGGAUCCUAGGGCUGUGGGAUUGAGCCUCAGGUCUUCUGGCUGUGCACUGAGUGUGGAGCCUGCUGAGGAGACCCUCUCUCUCUCUUUCUCUUUCUCUCUCUCUCUCCCCCCUCCCUUAUGCCCCUCUCCCGCACUCUUUCUCUCUCAAAAUAAUAAUAAUAAAAUUAAAAGACAUUAAACAAUAUAUGAUGGAUCCAAAGUGGAUAAUCUGAUGUUGAUUUAGAUACACAAUGAUUGAAAGUAAUUUUAAUUCUAAUAUUUGUCUGUACAGCCUUUUCCCCUAACUUUAAAGGAAACAUUGCUAUUACUUCAACAAGACCAACGCUUCUGCAUAAAUGGAAGACCAAUCCUACACCCUACGCUACCAUGCAAAGGCACUCUGACUUAGAUAUUCACAUAACAUAUACUCACAUUCCUUUUUAUCCCUGAAAAACCAUUUAGAGACAACAAAUCAGAGCUGAACAGCAGCUUUCUAUAUUUGGUUAGAUGGAAAUUAUUACUAGUUGAGCUCUGUAUAGUUAUGGUUCAAGUUAAAAUAGUUCAUUGCUCAAACUAAGGUUUUUGUGACUAUGAACAUCCUAAGAAUAUGAAUUUCCUUAUAGUAGAAUGAACUAUACAUAUGCUCUCAGUGUUGCCGUUAUGAAUAUUUGUCUUGUUUUUGGUCAUUGUUUUCAGGAUUCCCAUCUAUAUAACCAUACACCAGAAUUAAAUGGUUAUACUAAGUACACAGGGAGAAGAUUGAAUAGAUUGAGGAAUCAAGAAAUUUUUUUUCCCCACAUCCAGUAAUACAGCAUGAAAAUCAUUUCCAACUAAUUUGGACUUUCAAUUGCAAUGGAUUCUCCUAUAAGGAGAAAAUGAGAAUUAUGUUUGACUUUCUGAAAUGUGUAUUUUUUUAACAUUAUAGAAACCCUCAGUACUAUUUGUCAAUAUUAAUUUUAAAGUGCCCUAUUCCCAUUGUAUUAUGAAUAGCGCCAUUUCUGAAGGUAAAGUAUAUGUCAUAUCAAAUGCUUCUAUCCUAGUUAGCAGAAAUCAUAAAGCUUCAUAUCACUCAUUAUGUUAUGGGAAUUCAUUCCAAAAAUAUUUCUUGAUUGAUAAUUGAUUUAAUAGAGCUAAGAUGAAGUUCAUUUUUGUGUGAAUUCCCUAGAAAGUAGAAGGAACAAUGACUUUGGAAUUCUGACAGGUGGUGAACAAGUCAGAAACAUUGCCUUUUUUUUUUCUUAAAAACCUCUCUCCAGCAACUACAUUUUGUCUACCAGUUGAGACUUCCCCAAAUGGAAGACAGAACAAAAAUCCAAAGGUGAAUUGAGUUGAUGAAAGAAGAAUAUGGUUCUCUAAUACUUGUAGUUAUUUCUAGUCUCACUGUGAGCUUCUAAUGAAAUACAAAUAUUCUUUUACUGGUCUUUAUCAUUCCACAAUGCUUUUUCUUAUAGAGUGAUUUCUUUCCUGGUAUCUAUUACUUACUUCUUAUCAUAUUUGUGUCAGGAGUAGUAAGAUUUAUAAUUAGUAACCAUCAUUGAAAUAUGGUUUUAUAAGUCGAUGCAUUUUAUGUUUUCUCCUACCUUUAUCACUCAUAAGAAAAAUGGAGCUUCAGACAAUAGUAGAAGGGCACCUGCUAAAACUUACUUGUACAAGGCACAAGCGGAAGUGUAAGGCAGGAAAGCCAGUAGCUUGCUGUGGUGACAAGUCGUGUUAACUCCCCACUGUUUCUUUUCUGCUUAGAAAUUCAAGACAGACUUGUCAGUAAUAAUUUCCAGACUAAUUUUUAAAAACCUGUGAUUUCCUCUUUUAUUAGUUUUAAUAAAGAAUCACUGCUCCCCUAAGCUUACUUGGAAAAUUAUUACCUAUCAGCAAGACGGAAGACAAACAUGUAUGAUAUUGACAGCGGUAGAAAGUAGGUCCCUAAUGAUGGCAAUUAAGAGGUGAAAGUUACUGUAAAAAUACAUAUAUAAUCUAUUCUAGAUAAGUUCUUUUUGAAGAUGUAACGUGAAUUCUAGAGAGUUGACGAUUGGAAACUAGUGGCGAGAAUCUGAUUUUACUGUCUAAGGUAGAAGCAGAUUUGCUUUGAUAAAUAGUAAAAUUGUGAAAUAGGGGAGAAAAGGCUUCACAGAACUUGAACCAGCCCAACCCAUGUAUCCAUUCAUGGAUAGAAUUUUCAUUAGCAAUGGUUUCUUUCUGUGAGAUGUAAGUACAUCAUUAUUGAGAUAUAGUAUAAAGACAGUGGCAGUCUCACUGUUUGCUGAAGUGGGGGUGAAAUCAUUGGCUUAUUUUACACAAAUGCUUAUGGUCCUCUGGUUAUCUGUAAUGAUUCAUAACUUGGUGGGACAAUAUAGAUCUGAUCUGGGAUUUGUCAGAUUUGUUUUGUUAUGACUACAGAACUUAAUACAUGGUGUUAGUAUCGGGGCCAGGCUCAACAUCCAUGUAAUUGACUUAUUGUACUGUACUUCACUAAGUGUGCAGGAAAUUCAGUUUGAUUUGCAGUCCAAUAAGUGUUAUGAUAUACUAGGCCAUUUUAUAGUGGUGUCUAAAAAAUAGAAGGCAGAACUAUGAACUUGAAUGAAUGAAUGAAUGAAUGAUCGAAUGAAUGGCUAGCAGGCUUGCUGAAUGAAUAAAUGGGUGAAUAAAUGGAAUCCAUUGCCUUUAUCAAGUCAGACUAGCUUUUCGAGAUCCAGUGGAACUUUAAACUCCUCUAAAGUCCACCUAUGCUAGGAACAUUGGGUGUUCUAUGGAGAGGUUGCGCUCCUAGUGGAUUAGUUUGUCAUGUAAGGUACGUGAGACUUGAGUAGUGUAAUAAGUCAGAAGCCAACCAAUGCUAACAGAACGUGUAAGGAGGAAAGUUCAAUAAUGAAUGAUUCUGUGUCAAAUGUGGUUAACAAUGUAUAAGGAAGGUGAGAUGGCCCCCAGUGUAAGGAGACCAGGAAAAGGGAAAAGGGCUUUGAGUCUGCUGUCACUAAAGUGUGUUUUAUAGCUUCCACUCUUCCCUGCCUUGUAGCUUAGCGGGAGAGACACCAAUUAUUGUCAACAUGUUAUUCAAUUAUUUUUUUAACCGUCAGCUCAGAGAGAAAUCAGCUCGAUGUCGACAUCAUUUUUGGGAGAGAUGGAUGGGGAGAAAUAAUUCAGGUUUGAAAGCAAUCGUCUAAAUUUACAGCUGUAUGUGGUCAAACAACUAUUGACGCUUGAGAGUUUCCAAUUGCUGGUAAUAGACUGGAAAAAAAGAUAAUGUGUUUGAUCGAUCAGCAUGAACAAAUUUCAUUUAGGGGAUCAAUAACAGUUUAUACUUGACAGAGCUGAGGGACCACAUUUAUUUUUCCCUUUGAUUGAAUAAAUGUUUUCAAUGGGACUGCAAAUGUAAAGCAAUCCUAACCAUUUCUUCACUUGAGGCACAGCUCCUGCUACAGCGUUAUUGCAAGCAAUGUGUAUUUAAAACUAAUAUACAGAAAAGUGGAUAGCCAGGGGCUGGAGCAGUUGAAUGAAACUAAUGUACAGUUUAUUAAAACACAACACAUGGUAAGAGAAAGGUUUCAUUUUCUUGGUGUUGAGCAAUGGAAAAAAUAGGAGAGAGACAUCACAUUUCAUGGUGUGAAGUUUUUUGGUGUGUUUUGUUUUAUUUUUGUCUCCCUCUCUUUUUAUUAAGAUUAAACCCUUCAGCGGAUGAAAUAAAUUCUGUAAAAUAUUCGAUAGCAAAACAAGCAUCAAAUACCUGUGACGGAUAACCCCAGGGUGAAUCUUUCCAUAGCACGUGCAGCACUGCCUGCCUUGGCCAUCUGCAUACACAUCUGGCUGGCUCUUUUUCCCUAGAGCCAUCUUCCCACCAAAUAUAGCACCGAGCUCUGAAAAUGUUUCUUAAAUGAAUAAAUGGUGGGACCAACGACUACCAAUAGUGAUUUCCUGCCAAAUGGCCCUAUAGCUGAAGUUGACUCAUGGCCUUUCGUCUGGGCUCGGUUGGCCAGUUCUGGGGUGUCUGCAUGGCGUGCAGAAUGUAAGCCCUCCUCAUUUCCUGGAUGGAAGAAUGGCAUCACAGGCCACGUGCAACUCAGCUAAGGACAUGAGCUAAAGGAGGGAGGUUUCCCACUGACCGUCUAGAAAGUGGUAGGUAGGAGUUUUGGUAGUUCUGGUCGCAAGACGAAACUGGCAUUUUAAACAGAAGAAGCCCCUGAUGGCUUUCGUUUUUUCUUGUAUAUGAAAGAGAAAUGGUUCUUCUUCUUUAAAACAUAGGUUUCCAACUGACACGCUGAGAGUCGUUUUGAUCAGCUCCGAGGAGUCUUUCCCCCGCGGAUAUUCAUUUCUAACGUUCCUAAAUGUUCCUGUCCGGCAUCAGAAAACGCAGAUUCUAGAUGCACGGCUUUUUUCUUUGCCUCGGUUUUAUCAGGAGAAAGCGCUCUCCGGAGGCCUUGGGUGAAUCUCAGGGGUAGUCGAAAUGACCCUCCCGAUGUUCCGCGCUUCCGUUCACGAAGACCUAGCGAUACCACUUACAGGGACACAGCAACCACGCCAUUGCGUGCAAAUGCUUCAGUUCAGGUGUCGCGCCGAAGAGAAGGGUGAAAUUUUCUGAGCAGAGAGUUUUCCUUCUCGGCACAACGCGUAACAAUUCCUCUCCAAAGAGGCUGGAGUUACAGCGCCCUGCAAUUAAGUUUCCGAUGAUACAGAUGACAGGCGUGCCUUGAAAUGUGGGGAAGAUGCCAACGGUGCUCUGGACUGGUGGAUGCCUUUCCUCUAAGUGGUGACUCAAGAAGCCGGACUUCUUCCAUCUUGUGGUUUCGUCGUCUUCAAGUAUGGCACCCAGAUAGCCGAGAUCCCCUUCCCGAGCUGGCAGAAAGAGGAAACGCAUGAAGGACCUUGUGUGGGAGGCUUUGUAGGUCAGUCACUUCCACUCACAAGUCAUUGACUAGAGCUUAGUUUAGUGGCCACACCCAACUGUAAGAAAGUUUGGAAAACAGUCUAGCUGUGUUCUGGGGAAGAAGAAGAAAUCGAUUGGGGACGGGUUAGCCAGUGUCUGGCAAAGCUGUGGUACUUUAAAAUGACAUCACAUUGCUAUGGCAGUGAUAAUAAACUCCGUGGCUGAUGUGAGAGGUCAUACAGGAAUCCUCCAAAGAAAUACAUUUAUUGGUUUCAAACUAAGAGAUUUUGAAUAACUGCACUUUGAACUGUCCGAGGUGAUGUGUACACUUUUGGAAGACGAUAUGGCAAAGGUCCCAGCUCUCUUGGAGAAUUGUUUCGUCCGGGGAGACAAGCGAUGCAAACAGAAGUCAGUUCUAGCGUCAACCUUAUGUUGGGUCUCUGGCAUUCAGACAGCUCUGGUUUCCAUCCAGACCCAAGGAAUGGUCAUGUUUGAAAGUGACUCAUCCUGCCUAAUAACGCUUGGCUACUGAGACACUAGCUAUGUAGGCAGUAGGAAGUAAAGGCUUCCAAAAAAUUCUGUUUUUUUGUAGUGGAUCCCAUAUUCUUUGGUUUUCUCAACAGAAUACUGUCAGUUUCGUAUAUAUAUAAAUGGAAGUGGCAUGGGUACAUUUAAAAUAACACAUCUAGCUGAAUCAUUAAUAUUUAGACUCUAAUCAUUAAAGGGUUUUAUACUUAUUUAAAAUAUGUGCUUAAUUCUAGAAGUCAUUAUUAUUACUGUUAAGCCCAUUAUGUUUACAACUCCAUGUCUCUCUGUUUUGCUCCAGUUGUCUUCUUGUCCUUUCUUUUUCCUUUUUUUUUUUUCUCUUUCUUGUUGUGUUCCUUAACCUCUGCCCCUUAAACUAAUAAAUUAAGUUCCCAGUA